CCUACGGGUGGCAGCAGUGAGGAAUAUUGGUCAAUGGCCGUAAGGCUGAACCAGCCAAGUAGCGUGAAGGAAGACUGCCCUAUGGGUUGUAAACCUCUUUUAUGCGGAGAUAAAGGUGUACACGUGUGGAUGUUUGCAGGUACGGCAUGAAUAAGGACAGGAUAAUUCCGUGCCAGCAGCCGCGGUAAUACGGAAGGUCCGGGCGUUAUCCGGAUUUAUUGGGUUUAAAGGGAGCGUAGGCCGGUCUUUAAGCGUGCCGUGAAAUUUUGUGGCUCAACCAUGAGAGUGCGGCUCGUACUGGAUACCUUGAGUGCGGUGAAGGCAGGCGGAAUUCGUGGUGUAGCGGUGAAAUGCUUAGAUAUCACGAAGAACCCCGAUUGCGAAGGCAGCCCGCCGCAGCGUGACUGACGCUGAAGCUCGAAAGCGCGGGUAUCGAACAGGAUUAGAUACCCCUGUAGUC
RNAcentral lists this ribosomal RNA (460 nucleotides) under uncultured bacterium. RNAcentral's name for it is "partial 16S ribosomal RNA". It matches the Rfam family "Bacterial small subunit ribosomal RNA", at positions 338 to 795 of the family's 1533-position model. The record is from RNAcentral.